GGGCAGUUACCAGAGUGGCCAAAUGGGGCAGACUGUAAAUCUGCUGGCUUACGCCUUCGGUGGUUCGAAUCCAUCACUGCCCACCC
RNAcentral lists this transfer RNA (86 nucleotides) under Tannerella serpentiformis. RNAcentral's name for it is "Tannerella sp. oral taxon HOT-286 tRNA-Tyr". It matches the Rfam family "tRNA". From Rfam's summary of the family: Transfer RNA (tRNA) molecules are approximately 80 nucleotides in length. Their secondary structure includes four short double-helical elements and three loops (D, anti-codon, and T loops). Further hydrogen bonds mediate the characteristic L-shaped molecular structure. tRNAs have two regions of fundamental functional importance: the anti-codon, which is responsible for specific mRNA codon recognition, and the 3' end, to which the tRNAs corresponding amino acid is attached (by aminoacyl-tRNA synthetases). tRNAs cope with the degeneracy of the genetic code in two manners: having more than one tRNA (with a specific anti-codon) for a particular amino acid; and 'wobble' base-pairing, i.e. permitting non-standard base-pairing at the 3rd anti-codon position. RNAcentral also lists the same sequence under 6 other names. The record is from RNAcentral. Lineage: Bacteria; Pseudomonadati; Bacteroidota; Bacteroidia; Bacteroidales; Tannerellaceae.